UCCAGAUUUGGGACACGAAAUUGAGCAUCGCUGCCACCAUAAAGAAGGCAAGCACUCAGCGCCCACCACAUGCUCGACCAAAUGCUUACAAGGUUCAGCUCUGACCAUCAAUGAGGGGAACCCAGCACAAGUCACGAGAUAAAAGGAAUGAUCUAACAAAAUGGGGCAUUCAUCUGCUGCAUGAUUUUCAGGGAUGAAUAAUGAUUAGUGGCAAAAACAGUGUGUGAGAAAAGGAGAGAAUGAAACCUGCUGCAUCUCUUCAUCUGGAUCACUCAUUGGUUCAACCCAUGCAACUAUUACAUUUAGACAUCUGCCAAAAAUACCUUGACUUGAAAGCUUUCUGUAUGACUAUAUCUAGCUCCUUCAACUGGUUGUGCAUCACGUUUGAAUACUCCUUGAUGUGGAUCUGUAGCAGUUUGGUCCUUCCUUCUCUCUGUGUUUGCUGCGUUUGACAAAGGAUCAUACUCUGAUCUACAACUCAUUUGUAUAUCAAAGUGGAUUGGUCUAGCAACUGUAGAAGUAGGACCUAGGUAGCAGGAUUAACUUCUAGCUUACCUCCUGGAAAUUUGCUUUCCUGUCAGUUGAUGCUAACUUGUAUUUCCUUUACUGUAGACUGCAUCUAAAAACUGAUUGCUUCUUGGUGUGAUAAUAUGUGAAUGAUUAUUUUUACCUAUGCCAUUUUGUAUUUCAGGCUAUCAUCCCAUCGUCAUGACAGGCCAAACAAGGAUGAUGAUGAAUUGGAGAGUAUGAAGAAGGACAAGGACACUAAAGCUCACCUGGACAACUCUUGUCUUUGCACCUACAGCCUUGCUGGCAGCCAAGUCUAUGAUCUGGCCAAGAAUCAUUCAGAUCCAUAACUAGAUCAUACUACAGAGGGCGGCGUUGGUGCUCUUUUGGUCUACGAUAUCACCAGACUUUCAAUCACCUCGUGAGCUGUCCGGAGGAUGUGAGGCAGCACGCCAACGCCAACAUGACGAUAAUGCUGAUUGGGAACAAAUGUGAUCUGUCUCACAGGCGUGCAGUUUGCAAACGAACAUGGCCUGAUCUUCAUGGAGGCAUCUGCAAAAAGCACACAGAACAUCGAGGAGGUCAUGCUUGGUUCUGGUGUGUUGGACAUAUGUGCAGUUAAGAACAUUCAAAAUUUUCUCAUCUGGAUAUUUAAACGAAGGCAUUUGUUAAGACUGCUGCAGCAUUCUACAAGAAAAUUUCAUUACUUUUCCUCUGCUUAGGAAAAAACAUAAUAAGCCCCUUCGAUGUUACUUUAAGCAUCAUUUACGCAUAUACUCAUGUACCUUCUGACUUCUGUUCCAUGUUUACUACAUACGGAUUGAAAUCUUACGAGGUCCAUUGAAGCAUAA
Panicum virgatum (switchgrass) is the source of this 1358-nucleotide long non-coding RNA. RefSeq lists it as uncharacterized. Lineage: Eukaryota; Viridiplantae; Streptophyta; Magnoliopsida; Poales; Poaceae. The transcript has 5 exons. The record is from RefSeq and is a predicted model, not a curated record.